This 678-nucleotide long non-coding RNA is filed under the name Homo sapiens (human). Its description in RNAcentral is "HSALNT0094522". Lineage: Eukaryota; Metazoa; Chordata; Mammalia; Primates; Hominidae. The record is from RNAcentral.
GGCCCCGCUAGACGAAGAGCUGACCGCUCAGAGAAUGGUUACGAAAGGGACAAACAAGCCAACAAACGAAGUCCAGUCUCCCCAUUUGUUGUAACCGCCGGGUCCCCUUUGGUUGCCAUGGCACUUGAGGCCAGAAAGUCCUCAGCUCCCAGGUGAAGUCCUCCACCAGCUGCCCAUUCCUGGGGGUGGAUGCCGUGACAGCCACGCCAGAUUGUCAGCUACCCAGAAGGAGAGGAGGUGGCCGUCUGUGUUCUCCAAACUUCUGGGACUCCUCAAGGAGUGAAGUCUGAUCUACGCACGGAACCAACCACCACGGCAAAGGAAGAGCGAUGGCGCCCCCAUGUGGCAACACAAGCACUGCGAUUUCACACAAGACCAAAUCAGAAUUGGCCGGAGGGGAACGUCAGAUUCUUAGGGAGUGUUACUCCAACUAAUGCUACACUCAGGGCGACUUCUUGGAAGGCAAAAGCCCCAUAGUCUAGCCAUACAACUUUCCAGAAAAGUAGCACUCUUCAAAACAGCUGGCAUUAAAAUUCUUGGCUCUGCCAUCCACCCGUUCUGUGAGACUCUUUCCUCAUCCCCAAAAAUGGAAGGUCUGAUGACUUCAAAAAGAGUUUUACCGUUUUUCCCCUCAUUGAAAAUAAUAGAAAACAGUAAAAUACUGCAUUUCUGCCUUCA